This 439-nucleotide ribosomal RNA is filed under the name uncultured bacterium. RNAcentral's name for it is "partial 16S ribosomal RNA". It matches the Rfam family "Bacterial small subunit ribosomal RNA", at positions 339 to 795 of the family's 1533-position model. The record is from RNAcentral.
CUACGGGCGGCAGCAGUGAGGAAUAUUGCACAAUGGGGGGAACCCUGAUGCAGCAACGCCGCGUGGAGGAUGACGCAUUUCGGUGUGUAAACUCCUUUUAUAUGUCAAGAAAAUGACGGUAGCAUAUGAAUAAGCACCGGCUAACUCCGUGCCAGCAGCCGCGGUACUACGGAGGGUGCAAGCGUUACUCGGAAUCACUGGGCGUAAAGGACGCGUAGGCGGGUUGGAAAGUCAGGUGUGAAAUCCUACAGCUUAACUGUAGAACUGCACUUGAAACUGCUAAUCUAGAGUAUGGGAGGGGGAGAUGGAAUUAGUGGUGUAGGGGUAAAAUCCGUAGAUAUCACUAGGAAUACCUAAAGCGAAGGCGAUCUCCUGGAACAUUACUGACGCUAAGGCGUGAAAGCGUGGGGAGCAAACAGGAUUAGAUACCCUAGUAGUC